UCUCUGGUGGACUAGUGGCUAGCAUGAGGCGCUCUCAUCACCGCUGUCCGGGUUCGAUUCACGGUCAGUAAA
Molecule: non-coding RNA, 72 nt
Organism: Pangasianodon gigas (Mekong giant catfish)
Lineage: Eukaryota; Metazoa; Chordata; Actinopteri; Siluriformes; Pangasiidae
Source: the annotation of a GenBank genome assembly